CCAAUAGCGUAUAUUAAAGUUGUUGCAGUUAAAAAGCUCGUAGUUGAAUUUCGGGGUUAGUAGGUUGGUCAUGCCUCUGGUAUGUACUGGUCUCACUGAUUCCUCCUUCCUGAUGAACCGUAAUGCCAUUAAUUUGGUGUUGCGGGGAAUUUGGACUGUUACUUUGAAAAAAUUAGAGUGUUUAAAGCAAGCUAACGCUUGAAUACAUUAGCAUGGAAUAAUGAAAUAGGACGUUCGAUCCUAUUUUGUUGGUUUCUAGGAUUGACGUAAUGAUUAAUAGGGAUAGUUGGGGGCAUUAGUAUUCAAUUGUCAGAGGUGAAAUUCUUAGAUUUAUUGAAAACUAACUACUGCGAAAGCAUUUGCCAAGGAUGUUUUCAUUAAUCAAGAACGAAAGUUAGGGGAUCGAAGACGAUCAGAUACCGUCGUAGUCUUAACCAUAAACUAUGCCGACUAGGGAUCGGAUGAUGUUAAUUUUUUAAUGACUCAUUCGGCGCCUUACG
RNAcentral lists this ribosomal RNA (500 nucleotides) under uncultured Glomeromycotina. RNAcentral's name for it is "partial small subunit ribosomal RNA". It matches the Rfam family "Eukaryotic small subunit ribosomal RNA", at positions 591 to 1092 of the family's 1831-position model. Lineage: Eukaryota; Fungi; Glomeromycota. The record is from RNAcentral.